AGUGAACGCUGGCGGCAGGCCUAACACAUGCAAGUCGAACGGCAGCACAGUGGAGCUUGCUCCAUGGGUGGCGAGUGGCGGACGGGUGAGGAAUACAUCGGAAUCUGCCCAGUCGUGGGGGAUAACAUAGGGAAACUUAUGCUAAUACCGCAUACGACCUACGGGUGAAAGCGGGGGAUCGCAAGACCUCGCGCGAUUGGAUGAGCCGAUGUCCGAUUAGCUAGUUGGCGGGGUAAUGGCCCACCAAAGCGACGAUCGGUAGCUGGUCUGAGAGGAUGAUCAGCCACACUGGAACUGAGACACGGUCCAGACUCCUACGGGAGGCAGCAGUGGGGAAUAUUGGACAAUGGGCGCAAGCCUGAUCCAGCCAUGCCGCGUGGGUGAAGGAGGCCUUCGGGUUGUAAAGCCCUUUUGUCCGGAAAGAAACGUCUCGGAUUAAUACUCUGGGGUAAUGACGGUACCGGAAGAAUAAGCACCGGCUAACUUCGUGCCAGCAGCCGCCGUAA
This 506-nucleotide ribosomal RNA is filed under the name uncultured bacterium. Its description in RNAcentral is "partial 16S ribosomal RNA". It matches the Rfam family "Bacterial small subunit ribosomal RNA", at positions 29 to 523 of the family's 1533-position model. The record is from RNAcentral.